Molecule: long non-coding RNA, 296 nt
Filed under: Nicotiana benthamiana
Lineage: Eukaryota; Viridiplantae; Streptophyta; Magnoliopsida; Solanales; Solanaceae
Description: long non-coding RNA (NBEN_LNC013485)
Source: RNAcentral
CCAUGUCAGCUUAUACAAGCCAGCAGUUUGUUUACCAAGAUCCAGUGGCUUCUUCAGAGAAGGGCCCUGUAGCAUGUUGAGGAAACAUGAAUGUUCAGUGAACAUGACUAUACAAUGUAAUUCCUUUACCAACUUAUGGAAAGAAAUUAAGUUGUGUGUGAAAGAAGGAAUUAACAGUACAUUGUGAAGAAUAAUGGAAGAAGUCAAUUGGAAGGAGCCUGUGCAUGUUACUUUUACUUUGUAUCCAUUAGGAAGAGUCACAAGAUAAGGAACAGAUAAAGGUGUAAGGUUAAAAA